RNAcentral lists this ribosomal RNA (207 nucleotides) under uncultured bacterium. RNAcentral's name for it is "partial 16S ribosomal RNA". It matches the Rfam family "Bacterial small subunit ribosomal RNA", at positions 568 to 774 of the family's 1533-position model. The record is from RNAcentral.
UGCGUAGGUGGUUGGUUAAGUUUGAGGUGAAAGCUCCGAGCUCAACUCGGAAAAUGCCUUGAAGACUAUCUGACUAGAGGAUUGGAGGGGAGAUUGGAAUUCUCGGUGUAGCAGUGAAAUGCGUAGAUAUCGAGAGGGACACCAGUGGCGAAGGCGAAUCUCUGGACAAUUCCUGACACUGAGGCACGAAAGCCAAGGGAGCAAACG